RNAcentral lists this ribosomal RNA (301 nucleotides) under uncultured bacterium. Its description in RNAcentral is "partial 16S ribosomal RNA". It matches the Rfam family "Bacterial small subunit ribosomal RNA", at positions 509 to 807 of the family's 1533-position model. The record is from RNAcentral.
CAGCAGCCACGGUAAUACAGAGGGUGCGAGCGUUAAUCGGAUUUACUGGGCGUAAAGCGUGCGUAGGCGGCUUCUUAAGUCGGAUGUGAAAUCCCUGAGCUUAACUUAGGAAUUGCAUUCGAUACUGGGAAGCUAGAGUAUGGGAGAGGAUGGUAGAAUUCCAGGUGUAGCGGUGAAAUGCGUAGAGAUCUGGAGGAAUACCGAUGGCGAAGGCAGCCAUCUGGCCUAAUACUGACGCUGAGGUACGAAAGCAUGGGGAGCAAACAGGAUUAGAUACCCCUGUAGUCCCUGUCUCUUAUAC